GGGGAUUUAGCUCAGUGGUAGAGCGCUUGCCUAGGAAGCACAAGGCCCUGAGUUCAGUCCCCA
Non-coding RNA from Rattus norvegicus (Norway rat), 63 nucleotides. NCBI's taxonomy places the organism in Eukaryota, Metazoa, Chordata, Mammalia, Rodentia, Muridae. The record is from Rfam.